This 255-nucleotide ribosomal RNA is filed under the name uncultured bacterium. Its description in RNAcentral is "partial 16S ribosomal RNA". It matches the Rfam family "Bacterial small subunit ribosomal RNA", at positions 524 to 776 of the family's 1533-position model. The record is from RNAcentral.
UACGUAGGGGGCUAGCGUUGUCCGGAUUUAUUGGGCGUAAAGAGCUCGUAGGCGGUUUGUCGCGUCUGCUGUGAAAAACUCGGGGGCUUAACCCCGGGCCUGCAGUGGGUACGGGCAGACUAGAGUGCGGUAGGGGAGACUGGAAUUCCUGGUGUAGCGGUGAAAUGCGCAGAUAUCAGGAGGAACACCGGUGGCGAAGGCGGGUCUCUGGGCCGUAACUGACGCUGAGGAGCGAAAGCGUGGGGAGCGAACAGG